RNAcentral lists this ribosomal RNA (253 nucleotides) under uncultured bacterium. RNAcentral describes it as "partial 16S ribosomal RNA". It matches the Rfam family "Bacterial small subunit ribosomal RNA", at positions 524 to 776 of the family's 1533-position model. The record is from RNAcentral.
UACGAAGGGGGCUAGCGUUGUUCGGAAUUACUGGGCGUAAAGCGCACGUAGGCGGAUUGUUAAGUCAGAGGUGAAAUCCCGGAGCUCAACUUCGGAACUGCCUUUGAUACUGGCAAUCUAGAGUCCGGAAGAGGUUAGUGGAAUUCCCAGUGUAGAGGUGAAAUUCGUAGAUAUUGGGAAGAACACCAGUGGCGAAGGCGGCUCACUGGACUGGUAUUGACGCUGAGGUGCGAAAGCGUGGGGAGCAAACAGG